RNAcentral lists this transfer RNA (67 nucleotides) under chicken gut metagenome. It matches the Rfam family "tRNA". Rfam says of the family: Transfer RNA (tRNA) molecules are approximately 80 nucleotides in length. Their secondary structure includes four short double-helical elements and three loops (D, anti-codon, and T loops). The record is from RNAcentral.
GCUAUAGCUCAGCUGGACAGAGCGACCGCCUCCUAAGCGGUAGGCCGGAGGUUCGAAUCCUCUUAGC